UGAGGAAUAUUGGACAAUGGGGGCAACCCUGAUCCAGCCAUGCCGCGUGAGUGAAGAAGGCCUUAGGGUUGUAAAGCUCUUUCAAUUGUGAAGAUAAUGACGGUAGCAAUAGAAGAAGCUCCGGCUAAAUUCGUGCCAGCAGCCGCGGUAAUACGAAUGGAGCAAGCGUUGUUCGGAAUCACUGGGCUUAAAGCGUGCGUAGGCGGAAACGAAAGUCAGGAGUGAAAUCCCAGGGCUCAACCCUGGAACUGCUCUUGAAACUCCGUUUCUAGAAUCCGGUAGAGGUCAGGAGAAUUCCUAGUGUAGAGGUGAAAUUCGCAGAUAUUAGGAGGAAUACCAGUGGCGUAGGCGCCUGACUGGGCCGGUAUUGACGCUGAGGUACGAAAGCGUGGGGAGCAAACAGGAUUAGAUACCCCCGUAGUCC
RNAcentral lists this ribosomal RNA (424 nucleotides) under uncultured prokaryote. RNAcentral describes it as "bacterial SSU rRNA". It matches the Rfam family "Bacterial small subunit ribosomal RNA", at positions 355 to 796 of the family's 1533-position model. The record is from RNAcentral.